UACAGAGGUCUCAAGCGUUGUUCGGAUUCAUUGGGCGUAAAGGGUGCGUAGGCGGUGCGGUAAGUCGGGUGUGAAAUCUCGGGGCUUAACUCCGAAACUGCAUUCGAUACUGCCGUGCUUGAGGACUGGAGAGGAGACUGGAAUUUACGGUGUAGCGGUGAAAUGCGUAGAUAUCGUAAGGAAGACCAGUGGCGAAGGCGGGUCUCUGGACAGUUCCUGACGCUGAGGCGCGAAAGCCAGGGGAGCAAACGGG
This 253-nucleotide ribosomal RNA is filed under the name uncultured bacterium. RNAcentral describes it as "partial 16S ribosomal RNA". It matches the Rfam family "Bacterial small subunit ribosomal RNA", at positions 524 to 776 of the family's 1533-position model. The record is from RNAcentral.